AACGAACGCUGGCGGCAUGCCUAACACAUGCAAGUCGAACGAGACCUUCGGGUCUAGUGGCGCACGGGUGCGUAACGCGUUGGAACCUGCCCUUAGGUUCGGAAUAACUCCCCGAAAGGGGUGCUAAUACCGGAUAAUGUCUUCGGACCAAAGAUUUAUCGCCUUUGGAUGGGCCCGCGUUGGAUUAGCUAGUUGGUAGGGUAAAAGCCUACCAAGGCGACGAUCCAUAGCUGGUCUGAGAGGAUGAUCAGCCACACUGGGACUGAGACACGGCCCAGACUCCUACGGGAGGCAGCAGUGGGGAAUAGUGGACAAUGGGCGAAAGCCUGAGCCAGCAAUGCCGCGUGAGUGAUGAAGGCCUUAGGGUUGUAAAGCGCUUUUACCCGGGAUGAUAAUGACAGUACCGGGAGAAUAAGCUCCGGCUAACUCCGUG
RNAcentral lists this ribosomal RNA (433 nucleotides) under uncultured bacterium. RNAcentral's name for it is "partial 16S ribosomal RNA". It matches the Rfam family "Bacterial small subunit ribosomal RNA", at positions 29 to 507 of the family's 1533-position model. The record is from RNAcentral.